Molecule: ribosomal RNA, 427 nt
Filed under: uncultured bacterium
Lineage: Bacteria
Description: bacterial SSU rRNA
Rfam family: Bacterial small subunit ribosomal RNA
Source: RNAcentral
UGGGGAAUUUUGGACAAUGGACGCAAGUCUGAUCCAGCCAUGCCGCGUGCGGGAAGAAGGCCUUCGGGUUGUAAACCGCUUUUGUCAGGGAAGAAACGAGUUUCUCUAAUACGGAGACUUAAUGACGGUACCUGAAGAAUAAGCACCGGCUAACUACGUGCCAGCAGCCGCGGUAAUACGUAGGGUGCAAGCGUUAAUCGGAAUUACUGGGCGUAAAGCGUGCGCAGGCGGUUAUAUAAGACAGAUGUAAAAUCCCCGGGCUCAACCUGGGAACUGCAUUUGUGACUGUAUAGCUAGAGUACGGCAGAGGGGGAUGGAAUUCCGCGUGUAGCAGUGAAAUGCGUAGAUAUGCGGAGGAACACCGAUGGCGAAGGCAAUCCCCUGGGCCUGCACUGACGCUCAUGCACGAAAGCGUGGGGAGCAAACA